GCCGCCCUCCGCUUGCUCCUAUGCCAAGGGAUGGGCAGUAAAUGCCUAGUCAACCUGAAGAACCUCAGACCGAUGUGACUCUGCCCAGAGCCAGGCCGGGGCAGCACCAGCCUGAUCCCUCUAUGUUCCCUCUAUGUGCCCCCCCCCCCCCCAGCCCAGUCUGGCCUGAUGCCCCCGAGGUCGGUGCGCCUGCUUCCGGUCCUCGCUCUGCUCCUCCCCCAGCAGCGCCUUCUACCACGCAUGCGCUCCACCCCUCCCUCUGUCACGGUGCCACUGGCUUUCUGUCACGCUCCCCAUUUCUGUCCCAAGGGUUACAGGAACUUAAAUGCAGUCCUCCGGUGGGUAUCCUGGGAAGCUAUUCUGUGCAACACCACGCCGCCACCGGUGACUCCUCUUCCUCCCUCCACCUGCUCUGUGCUCUACAGACAACAGUUAGUCCCUGACUGCUUCCGGCCCCAGGUAGGCCUGCUUUUCAGUUCACCGGAGCUCUCCUGCCGGGAGUCACGGACAAACACCUCAUUCCUUCCUCGCUGGGAACUGGAUGCAAAUAUGCUACGGGAGUCAUCCUUUCACAUUGGAGCUCCUAUCAGCACAUAUCUCUGGCCAAGUCUUCAAGGGCGCCACAUGCUUUGGGGCAAAGCUCAAAUUCCUCAGCGUCAUCUAAAGCGCCCUUCGUGAGAUGGCUCCUGCUUACUGUCUGGCCCCUGUUGGGAGAGGUGGUCCACAUGGGGGCCGAGUGUCUCUGCACACCCUUACCAAGCAUGCCAGACUGCAAGAAUUGCCCUCUCCUGACACUGAGCUGUUCCUGAAGCCAGUCACAUAGGGACCCAUGGAGAUCCAGGUGAUGACAGCAUGAUCACUGUGUUUCUGCUUGCUCCCUUGGAGUGGGGGACUUGAGAGCUGCUUGCUUCAAAAGGGCUGUGCCUUUGGGUCUGGGUUCCUCAGCUUCAGAGCAAACCUACUGAAUGUGUAGCAUGCAUCCGGGUCCAUCACAUGACUUCUGUGUCAUCUGGGGGAAAAAGGAGGCCAGUGCAAAUAUGCUGAAGAUAAAGCUGCUUGCU
This is a long non-coding RNA of Prionailurus viverrinus (fishing cat), 1061 nucleotides long. RefSeq lists it as uncharacterized. NCBI's taxonomy places the organism in Eukaryota, Metazoa, Chordata, Mammalia, Carnivora, Felidae. The record is from RefSeq and is a predicted model, not a curated record. The transcript is spliced from 3 exons.